CUCGGUCAACUUGAACCACUUGAUUAAAAAACUUAAACUAUUACAAAUAGCUACAUUUAUGUUAUUUAAAUCCUGCUUUCAACACGUAUAAAAAACAUACUAUUUCUUACUUGACCAGAAUAAAAAUAUAGGUGACCUUAAUAUAUUUUCAGGUAAAAGCAAGCUUGGAAGCACCAAGAAUCUACGCUUCCACUUCAAGGUGCUAGAGACAUUAUUGUUCCAUAAACACAAGUUAUGAAAAAAAUUUGACAUUCAAACACAGCAAAUACGAUUGCAAUGCUCUCCCAAAUAAUGAAAUCUCCAUAGUGAGGCAGUGAUUUUUUUCUUUAGACAUCAGUCAAGGUUCUGUGCGCUUUAGCCCUUUUUGUCAUCAGAGAUUUGGCAAGAACCUGUAGCACAAAUUCCUCGAGCAAGUUAUUUGUGAACCAACACUGAAAUUAAAAGCCGAAUCAAAAUAAUUGUUUCAAACUUGCUUACUUAACUAGGAUCAGAUUGACCCUCUCAUUAAAAAGCUUAAACUGUUAUACAGGGCCACGUAUCUUAUUUAAUAUUGUCUUCAACAAGUGCAAUAAACAUAAUACUACUUACUUUACCAGAAUGAAAACAUAGGUGACCUUGUUAAUGUAUUUUCGGGUGAAAACAAGUUGUGGAAGUAUCAAUAAUCUAUACUCGGCUAGUGACAUUAUCAAGCCAUCACUACAAGUAACAAGAAAAUUCAAAAAGUCACAUGCAGCAAAUGUGGUUGUAAUGCAUUACUGAUUACUGAACAAUGAAAUCUCCACAGUGAGGCAGUGAUUUUCAGUUUUCUUGAGAUCAUCAGUUGUAGAAAGUAGCAGAAAACUCAAACCACAAGAAAGCAUCGGCACCAAAAAAUUGCUCUAACUUUUAUGGCAUGUUUAGCAAUUUUGGACAGUAUAAUGAAGAAAAUGAAAGUAUGAUGACGGACACAUUUGAGCAAGAACUUAAAUUAUAGUAG
This 976-nucleotide long non-coding RNA is filed under the name Olea europaea (common olive). Its description in RNAcentral is "long non-coding RNA (OEUR_LNC005810)". The record is from RNAcentral. Lineage: Eukaryota; Viridiplantae; Streptophyta; Magnoliopsida; Lamiales; Oleaceae.